Molecule: transfer RNA, 65 nt
Filed under: Japanagallia spinosa
Lineage: Eukaryota; Metazoa; Arthropoda; Insecta; Hemiptera; Cicadellidae
Description: tRNA-Glu
Source: RNAcentral
AUUCAUAUAGUUUAAUUGAAAACAUUUUAUUUUCAUUAAAAAAACAGUCUAAAAACUUAUGAAUU